This 299-nucleotide signal recognition particle RNA is filed under the name Oncorhynchus kisutch (coho salmon). Its description in RNAcentral is "Metazoan signal recognition particle RNA (ENSOKIG00005032719.1)". It matches the Rfam family "Metazoan signal recognition particle RNA". From Rfam's summary of the family: The signal recognition particle (SRP) is a universally conserved ribonucleoprotein. It is involved in the co-translational targeting of proteins to membranes. The eukaryotic SRP consists of a 300-nucleotide 7S RNA and six proteins: SRPs 72, 68, 54, 19, 14, and 9. The record is from Rfam by way of RNAcentral. Lineage: Eukaryota; Metazoa; Chordata; Actinopteri; Salmoniformes; Salmonidae.
GCCGGGUGCGGUGGCAUGUGCCUGUAAUCCAAGUCACUGGGAGGCUGAGGUUGGUGGAUCAAGUGAGCUGAGGAGCUCUGGGCUGCAGCACACUAUGUGGAACGGGUGUCCACGCUAAGUUCGGUAUCGAUAUGGUGUUCCUGGGGGAGCCCGGGACCACCAGGUUGUCUAAGGAGGGGUGAACCGACCCAGGUCGGAAACGAAGCAGGUCAAAUCCCCCGUGCUGUCCAGUAGUGGGAUAAUACCUGUGAGUAGAUGCUGCAGUGCAGCCUUGGCAAAACAUCGAGACCUAAUCUUUC